Molecule: long non-coding RNA, 1312 nt
Filed under: Cricetulus griseus (Chinese hamster)
Lineage: Eukaryota; Metazoa; Chordata; Mammalia; Rodentia; Cricetidae
Description: lncRNA (ENSCGRG00000024413.1)
Source: RNAcentral
CCCAGCUGCACUUUGCUUUCUGUUUUAUCCUCGAGGCCUAUGUGUCAUUCUACAAUAAUGAGUGCUGACUAAUAAACUAUAUGAUAAUGAGUAAUUAUCACAGCCACGAGUCAUGAUUAAUAAACUGUAACCCACUGCAUAACGUAUCUACAUCUUAGCGGACUUUUAAGAUGGUUUGCUGUUCAAGAGGUGAUUGGCUCACAGGAGUUCCAGACCCCCUGCUUUACCAGCUAAUGAAUCUAGUGGGGCUGUGUCAGGGUCUCAGGUCUCAGGUGGGAGAGAGUACAUGACCAAAGUUAAGUCUGGUAGGCAGACAGAAAUCAAGGUGAGCAGAUAUCAGAGGCCAAACUAGACCCAGGGAAACAGUUAAGAAACACCUAAUCAGAGAAGAAAGGUCCAUGGUUAAAACUUCCAACAAAUAAAGGAGAGCCACAGAAACCUCAGGAAAGGGCAGUGAUGAGUAGGGGUGGACUCAAGACUCAGGAAGGUGGAUGUGACCCUCUGUCCCAGGCUCAAGGUUAUUUAACAGUCUCUACCCAAGUUCAGCUUUCCAGCUAGCCUGGACUUUUAAAGGGAAGCAGGCCACAGGGUUAGGGUCACGACACAGUAAAAUCCCAGUGGCACAAAAUGGACAGAGAGGUAGCGGGCCCAGCACUACUGUGCCAGACCACGGUCCUACUCUGCCAGCAACCCUGGGGUACCAAGCCCCACACCAGCAUAGACUAAGGGUACACAGCUUGGAAAAAUAAUCAUCCCGCAAUGUCAGUGUCCAUCCCUGACCCCCAACCCUCGUCUUCAGUAUAAGACAAGGGACUCAGUUUGGGUCAGGAAAGGCUUCUGCAUCAUGGCAGAGUACUCGAACUUGACUUUACCCAGUAGUGACUGCAGUAAGCAGCAAUGUCUCGUCCUCUCUCUCCACCCAAAGCUGCUGUGGAUAAACUCAGGUGUGAAUGAAGAAAUAGCCAAUGACAAGCUGAGUGCGGGUGGAGGUAAAUGCGCCUGGGCAAACUGCAAGGUGACAGAGUGGAAGACAGUGUCCAGAAGGUGCCAGCCUGUCUCUGUGAGCGUCUUUUAUAAUCUGCCUACUGGAAACUCCUCAACAGCAAGCAAAGUCACUUUUCUCCAGGCUGACCCACAGGGUGUUUCCAUCUUACAGAAUGUGGUUGGGGUUUUAGCUUUAUUUACCAUUAUCGUGUGUAUUNNNNNNNNNNGUGUGUGUGUGUGUGUGUGUGUGUGUGUGUGUGUGUGUGUAGGUCAGUCCAUUUUCUUCUUCCAAAUUUAUGUGGUUCCAAGAAUCAAACUCAGGUUGUGA